AGCAUGGGAGCUUGCUCCCUGAUGUUAGCGGCGGACGGGUGAGUAACACGUGGGUAACCUGCCUGUAACAAUGGGAUAACUCCGGGAAAAAGGGGCUAAUACCGGAUGGUUGUUUGAACCGCAUGGUACAAACAUAAAAGGUGGCUUCAGUAACCACUUACAGAUGGACCCGCGGCGCAUUAGCUAGUUGGUGAGGUAACGGCUCACCAAGGCAACGAUGCGUAGCCGACCUGAGAGGGUGAUCGGCCACACUGGGACUGAGACACGGCCCAGACUCCUACGGGAGGCAGCAGUAGGGAAU
This 301-nucleotide ribosomal RNA is filed under the name Bacillus licheniformis. RNAcentral describes it as "bacterial SSU rRNA". It matches the Rfam family "Bacterial small subunit ribosomal RNA", at positions 69 to 362 of the family's 1533-position model. Lineage: Bacteria; Bacillati; Bacillota; Bacilli; Caryophanales; Bacillaceae. The record is from RNAcentral.